This 501-nucleotide long non-coding RNA is filed under the name Musa acuminata (dwarf banana). RNAcentral's name for it is "long non-coding RNA (MACU_LNC011070)". Lineage: Eukaryota; Viridiplantae; Streptophyta; Magnoliopsida; Zingiberales; Musaceae. The record is from RNAcentral.
AAACAUGACCAUAUUUUAACCAGUCCCUAGACCCAAUAACUCUCACAAUAUAAAUUACUUAUAAUCUCCUUUAGAUUUUCAAGACUGUUCCCUUCAUUCUUUGGCAGGAAAGUGGCAACAAGUUGAAUCUCUUGCUUUCUAGCAUAAAAUGAUCCCCAUACAUCUUUUAAGAAAACUUAUUCAUAUGCUCCAAUGCACUGUCUUUAGACAGUGACAUCACAUGAAACAGAAGAGAGCUGUCUAUACCCCUGAAACAAUUAAGUUCAACAAAUCAUAUGAUUGUGUGGUAUCGUAAUUCAGUUAUCAUGAACAUGUCAGCAUACAGAAAAAUUGGUACAUGAAGAUGGAGGUGUAACAUCAAUACUUAAUCGAAUGGACAGUCCAAAAUAAGACUAAUGAAUGUACACCAAUUUCAGAAGAUAAUGUAAAUCUUGUAAUUGUUAAAAAUAGAGAGAUUAAACAAAACCUAAAACUCAAAUCACUGGAAAAAAGAAAAAGAAA